Molecule: non-coding RNA, 352 nt
Organism: Alistipes sp. CAG:831
Lineage: Bacteria; Pseudomonadati; Bacteroidota; Bacteroidia; Bacteroidales; Rikenellaceae
Rfam family: Bacterial RNase P class A
About the family: Ribonuclease P (RNase P) is a ubiquitous endoribonuclease, found in archaea, bacteria and eukarya as well as chloroplasts and mitochondria. Its best characterised activity is the generation of mature 5'-ends of tRNAs by cleaving the 5'-leader elements of precursor-tRNAs.
Source: Rfam
AAGGCGGGGCGCUCUAUCGCUGCCGGACCGUCACAGGUCCGGGGGAGGAAAGUCCGGGCAGGACAGAGCACCGCACUGUGGAAAGCACAGGUAGGCGAAAGCUUACGUCACGGGUAACAGAAAACAACCGCCCCUCCCUCGGGAGAGGUAAGGGUGAAAAUGCAGGGUAAGAGCCUGCGUCCGUUCGAUGGCGACAUCAUCGGAGUAUCCGCCUGCGGCCUGCAAGGCCAAAUAUACCGGCAGUCAAGGGCUGCUCGUCCUUUGCCGGGGGGUAGGCUGCUCAGAUAAAUGAUAGAGGCCGACGGAGUCCGCUCCGACGGUACAGAACCCGGCUUACAACCCCGCCUUUUUU